This 786-nucleotide ribosomal RNA is filed under the name uncultured bacterium. RNAcentral describes it as "bacterial SSU rRNA". It matches the Rfam family "Bacterial small subunit ribosomal RNA", at positions 8 to 796 of the family's 1533-position model. The record is from RNAcentral.
AGAGUUUGAUCCUGGCUCAGAACGAACGCUGGCGGCGUGCUUAACACAUGCAAGUCGAGUGCGCGUCCGUAGCAAUACGGAUGGCGCACGGCGCACGGGUGCGUAACACGUGGGCAAUCUGCCCUUCGAUGGGGAAUAACUCCGGGAAACCGAAGCUAAUUCCGCAUAACAUUCCUUGGACCUCGGUUCGGGGACUCAAAGCCGUAAGGCGUCGAAGGAGGAGCCCGCGCCCGAUUAGCUAGUUGGUGAGGUAACGGCUCACCAAGGCAAUGAUCGGUAGCUGGUCUGAGAGGAUGGCCAGCCACACUGGAACUGAGACACGGUCCAGACUCCUACGGGAGGCAGCAGUGGGGAAUCUUGCGCAAUGGGCGAAAGCCUGACGCAGCGACGCCGCGUGGGGGAUGAAGCAUCUCGGUGUGUAAACCCCUUUCGACUGGGACGAAUGCCUCGCAAGAGGAGUGACGGUACCAGUAGAAGAAGCCCCGGCUAACUACGUGCCAGCAGCCGCGGUAAGACGUAGGGGGCCAGCGUUGUUCGGAAUUACUGGGUGUAAAGGGUUCGUAGGCGGUGUGGCAAGUCGGGAGUGAAAUCUAUGGGCUUAACCCAUAGGCUGCUUCCGAAACUGCCGUGCUUGAGUGUGGGAGAGGCGCGUGGAAUUGCAGGUGUAGCGGUGAAAUGCGUAGAUAUCUGCAGGAACACCCGUGGCGAAAGCGGCGCGCUGGACCACUACUGACGCUGAGGAACGAAAGCUAGGGGAGCAAACAGGAUUAGAUACCCCUGUAGUCC